This 524-nucleotide ribosomal RNA is filed under the name uncultured bacterium. Its description in RNAcentral is "bacterial SSU rRNA". It matches the Rfam family "Bacterial small subunit ribosomal RNA", at positions 157 to 660 of the family's 1533-position model. The record is from RNAcentral.
GGACUGCUAAUACCGCAUGUCAGGUCGGAAAACCCUGGUUUCUGGACGAAAAAGAGGGCGCCCGCAAGGGGCUCUCACCACGAGAUGAGUCCGCGGCCAUCAGCUAGUUGGCGGUGUAAUAGACCACCAAGGCUAAGACGGGUAGCUGGUCUGAGAGGAUGACCAGCCACACUGGGACUGAGACACGGCCAGACUCCUACGGGAGGCAGCAGUGGGGAAUAUUGGACAAUGGGCGAAAGCCUGAUCCAGCCAUGCCGCGUGAGUGAUGAAGGUCUUCGGAUCGUAAAGCUCUGUGGGAAGGGACGAAAAAGCCUAACCUAAUACGUUAGGUCUUGACGGUACCUUCUUAGCAAGCACCGGCUAACUCCGUGCCAGCAGCCGCGGUAAUACGGAGGGUGCAAACGUUGCUCGGAAUUAUUGGGCGUAAAGCGCACGUAGGCGGUCCGCUAAGUCGGAUGUGAAAGCCCUCGGCUUAACCGAGGAAGUGCAUCCGAAACUGACGGGCUAGAGUACGGAAGAGGGCG